This 433-nucleotide ribosomal RNA is filed under the name uncultured bacterium. RNAcentral's name for it is "partial 16S ribosomal RNA". It matches the Rfam family "Bacterial small subunit ribosomal RNA", at positions 29 to 507 of the family's 1533-position model. The record is from RNAcentral.
AACGAACGCUGGCGGCAUGCCUAACACAUGCAAGUCGAACGAGACCUUCGGGUCUCGUGGCGCACGGGUGCGUAACGCGUGGGAACCUGCCCUUAGGUUCGGAAUAACUCCCCGAAAGGGGUGCUAAUACCGGAUAAUGUCUUCGGACCAAAGAUUUAUCGCCUUUGGAUGGGCCCGCGUUGGAUUAGCUAGUUGGUAGGGUAAAAGCCUACCAAGGCGACGAUCCAUAGCUGGUCUGAGAGGAUGAUCAGCCACACUGGGACUGAGACACGGCCCAGACUCCUACGGGAGGCAGCAGUGGGGAAUAUUGGACAAGGGGCGAAAGCCUGAUCCAGCAAUGCCGCGUGAGUGAUGAAGGCCUUAGGGUUGUAAAGCUCUUUUACCCGGGAUGAUAAUGACAGUACCGGGAGAAUAAGCUCCGGCUAACUCCGUG